This is a long non-coding RNA of Euleptes europaea (tarantolino), 240 nucleotides long. RefSeq lists it as uncharacterized. The transcript has 3 exons. Lineage: Eukaryota; Metazoa; Chordata; Lepidosauria; Squamata; Sphaerodactylidae. The record is from RefSeq and is a predicted model, not a curated record.
CAAUGCUUCUGAUAGUGAAAGCAGUUCAGAUGAUGAUCCCAGCACUAUGUCAUUUGCCAGUGCUGAAGCUGAAAGUGUUGAUGGCUCCUUGGAAAACCCUUGGGACAUAUUUCCAGGGAUAACAUUGACCUCCUCCAAGGAAAUGUCAGACACGCAGCCCAGCCUUCCCAAUACACAGCAGAUGCUCCUGGCUAAUACAGCUGAGGAAGAGGAGGCUGCAAGCUCCAGUAGCAGCACCCC